AACGAACGCUGGCGGCAUGCCUAACACAUGCAAGUCGAACGAGGCCUUCGGGUCUAGUGGCGCACGGGUGCGUAACGCGUGGGAACCUGCCCUUAGGUUCGGAAUAACUCCCCGAAAGGGGUGCUAAUACCGGAUAAUGUCUUCGGACCAAAGAUUUAUCGCCUUUGGAUGGGCCCGCGUUGGAUUAGCUAGUUGGUAGGGUAAAAGCCUACCAAGGCGACGAUCCAUAGCUGGUCUGAGAGGAUGAUCAGCCACACUGGGACUGAGACACGGCCCAGACUCCUACGGGAGGCAGCAGUGGGGAAUAUUGGACAACGGGCGAAAGCCUGAUCCAGCAAUGCCGCGUGAGUGAUGAAGGCCUUAGGGUUGUAAAGCUCUUUUACCCGGGAUGAUAAUGACAGUACCGGGAGAAUAAGCUCCGGCUAACUCCGUG
RNAcentral lists this ribosomal RNA (433 nucleotides) under uncultured bacterium. RNAcentral's name for it is "partial 16S ribosomal RNA". It matches the Rfam family "Bacterial small subunit ribosomal RNA", at positions 29 to 507 of the family's 1533-position model. The record is from RNAcentral.